AUACGUAGGGGGCGAGCGUUGUCCGGAAUUACUGGGCGUAAAGGGUGCGUAGGCGGCUUGUUAAGUCAGAUGUGAAAUACCGGGGCUCAACCUCGGGGGUGCAUUUGAAACUGGCGGGCUUGAGUGCAGGAGAGGAAAGUGGAAUUCCUAGUGUAGCGGUGAAAUGCGUAGAGAUUAGGAGGAACACCAGUGGCGAAGGCGACUUUCUGGACUGUAACUGACGCUGAGGCACGAAAGCGUGGGGAGCAAACAGGAUUAGAUACCCUGGUAGUCCACGCCGUAAACGAUGGAUACUAGGUGUAGGGGGUAUCGACCCCCUCUGUGCCGGAGUUAACGCAAUAAGUAUCCCGCCUGGGGAGUACGGCCGCAAGGUUAAA
This 377-nucleotide ribosomal RNA is filed under the name uncultured bacterium. Its description in RNAcentral is "bacterial SSU rRNA". It matches the Rfam family "Bacterial small subunit ribosomal RNA", at positions 523 to 898 of the family's 1533-position model. The record is from RNAcentral.